Molecule: ribosomal RNA, 468 nt
Filed under: uncultured bacterium
Lineage: Bacteria
Description: partial 16S ribosomal RNA
Rfam family: Bacterial small subunit ribosomal RNA
Source: RNAcentral
GACGAACGCUGGCGGCGUGCUUAAUACAUGCAAGUCGAACGGAAAGGCCCGGCUCUUGCGCGUCGCACGAUUGGCGAACACGUGUGUAACACGUGAGUAACCUGCCCCUGUCUGUCUGGUAACAUCUCGAAACUCGGGCUAUAACCCCGUAUGAUCUCUUGAACCUCGUGGUUCAAUAGUGAAAUUCGGUUGUUGGGGCUCGUAUCGCGGCUUACCCGCUUGGUGGUGGGGUAGUGGAUUACCAAGGCUAUGACGGGUACGCGGCCUGAGAGGGUGACCGGCGACCUUGGGACUGCGAUACGGCCCAGACGCCUACGGGACGCAGCAGUGGGGAAUAUUGCACAAUGGGCGGAAGCCUGAUGCAGCAACGCCGCGUGCGGGAUGACGGCCUUCGGGUUGUAAACCGCUUUCGCCUGUGACGAAGCGUGAGUGACGGUAAUGGGUAAAGAAGCACCGGCUAACUACGUG